This 520-nucleotide ribosomal RNA is filed under the name uncultured bacterium. Its description in RNAcentral is "bacterial SSU rRNA". It matches the Rfam family "Bacterial small subunit ribosomal RNA", at positions 8 to 518 of the family's 1533-position model. The record is from RNAcentral.
AGAGUUUGAUUCUGGCUCAGAUUGAACGCUGGCGGCAGGCCUAAUACAUGCAAGUCGAACGGUAACAUGGAAGUAGCAAUACUUUGAUGACGAGUGGCGGACGGGUGAGUAAUAUUUGGGAAUCUACCUAUCAGAGGGGGAUAGCAACUGGAAACGGUUGAUAAGACCGCGUACGCUCUGAGGAGGAAAGUAAUGGGAUCGAAAGACCAUUAGCUGAUAGAUGAGCCCAAACGGGAUUAGCUAGUAGGCGGGGUAAGGGCCCACCUAGGCGACGAUCUCUAGCUGGUUUUAGCGGAUGAUCAGCCACAUUGGAACUGAGACACGGUCCAAACUCCUACGGGAGGCAGCAGUAGGGAAUAUUGCACAAUGGAGGGAACUCUGAUGCAGCCAUGCCGCGUGUGUGAAGAAGGCCUUCGGGUUGUAAAGCACUUUAGUUUUCGAGAAAGGGUGCUGUUCAAAUAGGGCAGUAUUCAGAUGUUAGAAAAGAAUAAGUACCGGCAAACUCCGUGCCAGCCGCCGC